GGUCCUCCUGUCUCCUCUGUACAGUACUGACUGGGUCCUCCUGUCUCCUCUGUACAGUACUGACUGGGUCCUCCUGUCUCCUCUGUACAGUACUGACUGGGUCCAUCUGUCUCCUCUGUACAGUACUGACUGGGUUCUCUUUUGUCUCCUCAGUCAUGCUGUCUUGGAGCAGGUGUCACUGUGUUCUGCUGUUACAGCUGCUGACAGUCAUAGCUGGCUCUUUUCCUUCAGUAAAGGUGAAUCUUCAUGAUGCUGCUACUCUCCACUGCACUCAGACGUGUUCUGGUCUGGUCACAUGGACUUUAUAUCAUAAACCACAUGACAUUCUGGCUCAGUGUAACCAGACAUCCUGCCAGUCAAAGGAGGGAUUUCACAUGUCCCAUGAUCAGUACCUGAAGGGAGAUCUCUCCCUCACCAUCACUGAUGCUGAUUACACUAAGAGGACCUGGUACACCUGCGCCUGUAAUGGUAAAGACAUCUGUGAUGUGAGUCUGCAGAUAGAGGCCUGUAAUUCUUCAGUUCAGAUUAAGCCUGGUGAACCUCUGGUGCUGGAUUUGCUCAUAUCAGAGUCAGUUGAGGUGAUUUAUAACAGCACAGGUGCAGCUGCUCCCUCUAGUGGACAGAUCUGCACAGUGGCUGGACACUCACUGAAGUGUAAACCUGAAUACACUCGGAGAGUGUCGCUCAUCUCUGCUGUGGAGCUGAGAGGAACCGCACCAUCUGAUAGUGGAGUUUACAGCAUCAGAGACACUAAGAAUGAAGAGAUUAUUCAGACAUACACAGUUACUGUGGAAGGAACUGGAGCUGAACUGCCCCUGUCCCACAAUCCCUCUCGAUCCCGUCACAGUGUUCACUCUGAAGUCCAGCCGUGUCCAGAUCAGAGCUCCACAGUGACGGUGUUGACGGUGCUCCUGGCUCUGACGGGGGCGGGGCUUGUGGCAGCAGUGCUGGUGAUUGUGCAGCUGAGGAAAAAAAUCAGCAGUGAAUGAAGACUGUAACCAUGACAGCAGAGGAGUUAAUAUGAAUGGACUAAACCACUCAGAUGAAGAGCAGAGGUGAUCUCCCAGUAAUAACCAUGAGGAAGUCUAAAAGAGAUGAUGAAUUAUUUGGCUCUCUUGUACACACAAACGUAUGUACCCACACUGCCUUUCUCUGUACCAUUCUGGGGUCAGAGAUCAGUGUAUGUUUGAUCAUACCUGAUCAGUUUUAUGAUGUUAGCAUUCUUGAACUCACCUGGUAGAGCAGGUACAGUAAGAUACAUCUCCAGAAUCAUGGUUUGAUCCUCAGAGAGGACACAUGAUGUCAUACUGAUAAAUAUGCAUCAGUCACUAUAAGAGCACCUGCCCAGUACUGUAAAUGUAAUGGAAAGAUGUUUAUGUAAAAAUUUAAUAUAAAGAUGUUUAUGUAAAUAUUAUUAUGUGAUCCUGUGAUGUAAUUUAAUGCACAUGUAAAUAUUUUUGUGUCAAGUCAUGGAAAAACAGGUAUUUAUUUCUGUAGCAUCUUUUAAAUUUUAUUUGCCUUUUAUUUAAGAGUCUCCCCUUAUUGUCCAGGUUAUAUUUUCAAGAGUUCACUUGUGGUCUUGGUGAUUAUGGUCAGUUGUUGUGGUUGGUUUUUCCAAUGCUGUAAUGCUGCAUUAAUUUCAAAGCAUUCUGCUCAAUAAGUAGCUAAGGUUUGCCUGCCCAGGUAAAGCAAUCUCCAAUAUUAAGUAAACCAGACAUGUAUUAUGGAAACAGACCUGCUUCAUGUCAUUUCUUUUUGAGAAAGGUUGACAGACCCUGUGAUGUUUACUGUUUUUAUCAGCUGGCUAUUAUUAAAUGCAGUUGCUAGUUAACAGUGUCUGUGGAGUAAUCUGUCUAAGGGCAAGAUCAAUUCACUAGAGUUAGAUCGGAGAUGCAUAUGGAUAACAAGAUGAAUCAACAGGCAUUAAGUAACUAGAAAGUAAAGAUUGUAAACAAACAGUGAGUUGUAUUAGAAUCAGUAGAGUUCUCAUGAAGUGCAGAUAUGUGCUUAACUACGUUUAUUUUAUGAGUGUAAUAAGCUGAACAUUUGACAAAUUUUAUGAUUGUACCAUAAACCUUUAAGGAUCAGUAUCAAAAUAAAUGUUUCCAAAGGGAGGAUGAAGGCAUUAAUGAAAGGAGAGGAGAGAAGGAGUACAGAGACUGGUGCUGCUGGUAUAAUAUGUAGUUUGGAUGUCACGGAAUGCUCGCCUCCCGCGAGUCACGUGGUUUGGCCCGCCACGUGCAGUGGGAGGAUCCUCAUUUGUGGCCACACCUGCACCUCAUUUGUUUAUAUGUAUUUAAACCCCCCGUCAUAGUGUGCAAGAUCGUUGGUCAUUGUGGAUGUAACGUCUUAAUGUCAUGGUUAAUGGUCUUGUCAUCGGUAAACGUAUGCGUGUUUAUUGUGCUUGUUUCAUGUUAACCGUUACAGGUUCAUGUUUUUCGUGUGUAAUAUUUGAGUGCCGUUAUCGUUCUGUGUAACUAAAUGUACGUCCCAGUCACUGGAGUCUGUGUGUCCUGUAGCACUCGGGCCACCACGCGUUACAUUGGAGCUUGAGGUCCACUGUUGAGUGUCUUUGCCAAGCCUGGUGGCUGUAGCCUUCAAAUUCAGGGAGAUAAAAUGUCAUCAGUACAAAAUGCAAUUUGCUGGCAGGAGUUGCUUAAUGUUUAUCUUAAAAUUUCUAAUUUUUUAAUUUUUCAUCUGUCAGCACUACUUUGAGCCAAUGAUGUUUUAAACUUUGCUCAUGAAUAUUAAUGAGGUGUUUUGCUCUGUGCCUCUGCAAAUCCAACUGCUUCUCUUGCAGUGCCUUAUGGGUAAAAACCUGCCAUGUGUUUUUUUUUUUGUUGUUGUUUUUUUUUUUAAAUCUCAGACAUAUAAGAUGUAAUGCGUUUAUUUUGAAAUACAAAAAGAAAUCAUGUUUUAUGGAACUUUUUGUUUAAAUGUAUUACUGUAUUUUGAUGCCUAAUGCAUUGUUACCAAAAUACAAUAUUUUAAAUGCAUCUAUACUCUGUUUAUCCUGAAACUGUC
Molecule: long non-coding RNA, 3024 nt
Organism: Electrophorus electricus (electric eel)
Lineage: Eukaryota; Metazoa; Chordata; Actinopteri; Gymnotiformes; Gymnotidae
Source: Ensembl